GGGGUCGUUACGGAUUCGACAGGCAUUAUGAGGCUUGUUCUGCAACUCGAAUGGCGGCGUAACCGCUCAGUUUAAAUAUAACUGCAAAAAAUACAAACUCUUACGCUUUAGCUGCCUAAAAAACAGCGGGUGUGACCAAUCUCAAAUUGCUUGUGUUUGUGCAUUGGUCUUAAAAUAGCAAGCUACGGCAAGAGUCUGUCAGGAACUUUUGCAAGAGAUCAACUGACUCGUAAGAUUUGGGCCUGAGUUAUGUGUCAAAGUCUUGUUAAAUCAAUACAUAACCUAUAGUUGUAGACGAAUAAGUUAGCAGAUGUUUGGACGUGGGUUCGACUCCCACCGGCUCCAUAA
Molecule: non-coding RNA, 348 nt
Organism: Streptococcus sp.
Lineage: Bacteria; Bacillati; Bacillota; Bacilli; Lactobacillales; Streptococcaceae
Rfam family: transfer-messenger RNA
About the family: Bacterial tmRNA, also known as 10Sa RNA or SsrA, is named for its dual tRNA and mRNA-like properties. Its role is to liberate the mRNA from a stalled ribosome. To accomplish this part of the tmRNA is used as a reading frame that ends in a translation stop signal.
Source: Rfam